GCUCCCGACGCCCCCCGCCCCCGACUCCGGGCCGGCAGGGCUGGCUGCAGCGGCCGGCGCACUCACCCGCUCCCCGGCUUGCGCGCAGGCACACUCAAGAGAGAGCAGCGAGCUCGCCGCGCCGCCGCCGCCCCCCGCCCCCGGCCCUGCGCCCGCCCCUCCUCCCCUCCCUCGCGGCGGCCCGGCCCGCUGCUGCAGCCGCCGUGCUCAUCAGACAACAGAUAUUUAUUGAAUGUUCUUUGUCAUGCUUCUUCAAGAUGUGCCCUGGCCAUUCAUGCAAGUUUCAAGGACUCUGAAUCUAUUGAGA
This 307-nucleotide non-coding RNA is filed under the name Pan troglodytes (chimpanzee). The record is from RNAcentral. Lineage: Eukaryota; Metazoa; Chordata; Mammalia; Primates; Hominidae.